GAAGCAAAGACCGCGAGGUAGAGCAAAUCUCAAAAAAACAAUCUCAGUUCAGACUGCAGGCUGCAACUCGCCUGCACGAAGUCGGAAUUGCUAGUAAUCGUAGGUCAGCAUACUACGGUGAAUACGUUCCCGGGCCUUGUACACACCGCCCGUCAAACCAUGAGAGUUGGCAACACCCGAAGUCGGUAGUCUAACCGCAAGGAGGACGCCGCCGAAGGUGGGGUUGAUGAUUGGGGUUAAGUCGUAACAAGGUAUC
This 256-nucleotide ribosomal RNA is filed under the name uncultured bacterium. RNAcentral's name for it is "partial 16S ribosomal RNA". It matches the Rfam family "Bacterial small subunit ribosomal RNA", at positions 1246 to 1500 of the family's 1533-position model. The record is from RNAcentral.